RNAcentral lists this ribosomal RNA (395 nucleotides) under Starmerella sp. MA105.1.1. RNAcentral describes it as "eukaryotic LSU rRNA". The stretch from base 105 to 254 matches the Rfam family "5.8S ribosomal RNA". The record is from RNAcentral. Lineage: Eukaryota; Fungi; Ascomycota; Dipodascomycetes; Dipodascales; Trichomonascaceae.
CUACACGCCGACAUUGUGAACUGCCCUCGGGCAUUACUUGGGUGUCCUUUUGGGCGCCCAACGUUAAAACUCUUAAUUUUAUCUCUGAACACCAAGAAAUUUAAAACUUUCAACAACGGAUCUCUUGGUUCUCGCAUCGAUGAAGAACGCAGCAAAGCGCGAUAGGUAAUGCGAAUUGCACACGUGAGUCAUUGAAUCUUUGAACGCAUAUUGCGCCAUCAGGUUCUCCUGAUGGCAUGCUUGUUGGAGCGCCGAUCUUUCUCACACACUAUUUCGAUAGUGUGCGGUGCUGCUCCUAUUAGGAGUCAAAAGUAUGGAAGUACACACGUUAGACAACUCUGUGUAGUUUUUAUCACUUUUGGCCUCCAAUCAAGCAAGGCUACCCGCUGAACUUA